CUCGUUACCCAGUGUGUUUAUGUAGUCUCUGUGUUUCCUCAUGGUUCAGUCUUACCUGAGUGUUCCCUUGUCUUCCUGUGCUCUGCUGUGUCCCGUGGAUUUAUUUAUCUGAGGCUCAGAAACCAUGUUACUGGAGUGCACAGACUUAGCCUGAUGAUGGCGCUCUAUGGACAGGAACUUGGCAUUCUUGAAGCUAUGCUGUCAGCAAUGCAGAAAGUAUCAGCUCCAGCAUGUUGUAAGACCACAGGAUAAUGUUCAUAGAGCCUCAUUCUGCCUCCUCCGACCCUCCACAGCGUAGGAAACCUUCUCCCUGAUGUUGACGUCCUCAUCAGAGAGAUGAACCCGUCACUCUGCCCGUGUUGCUGCCUUGCUCUGCACAUUAACCGGGACAGGCAGGAGGAGGAACCACGUAAAGUCGCCCAUGCAGAGCGAGUGUUUGAAGGUAUCUGGAGAAAAUGGCGUGGGUGCCUGCAGAGCGCCGUGAAACAAAGAGCAGCUCUGCCUGUGAGGAAAGUUUGGACCCUCUGUAAUCCCUCCUCCAGACGUCCUUGAUGCAGCCUGACCUGAACACCCAGUGCCGGUCUGACCCCAGACCGUCCUCCUCUCUGGCUCUCCGCCCGAGAGGUCGACGCAAGUUCUGCUGAAAAAGGAGAAUCCACGCUCUGUAAUAUCAUACGUGCGGUUAUUUAUUUCUGAGUGUGUGGAUGCUGCUUUCAUCUGUGACCUGUCCUCUGAGCCAUGCAGGAUAAACACCACCAAGCAAUAAAUCAAAGGGAAGGUGUUCAAAGGGGGAGCAGAGAAUAUACCAGAGACACAGAACAGUGUUUGUUUCAGUGUGAAACAAAGGAAGUGUUUAAUAAACUCAAACAGAACUUA
Molecule: long non-coding RNA, 876 nt
Organism: Notolabrus celidotus (New Zealand spotty)
Lineage: Eukaryota; Metazoa; Chordata; Actinopteri; Labriformes; Labridae
Exons: 5
Source: RefSeq, a predicted model, not a curated record